UUCGUCGCCUUAUUUCCAGAGGGACGUAAAUCGAUUUUUUGGCAAAAUGUCAUGUUUGGUAUCGUUGGAUUCGUAAUUUCAAGCUAUACAAGAUGGGCCGACUUACACCCAUGUAGAACUAAUAAUAAAUACGCUAUUUUCCGUUCCAAGAAGACGUAAGUCCGUUUAAACACAUAAUUUGAUUUCCAAAAAGUCGUAACUCAACAACCAAUGGGAAUGGCCGAUUUCACUCUAAACGGUGCUAGGGUACAAUUUUCACUUGCAAAAGUAUCCAUUUUUGAAAACUGCAUCGUAAAGUAAACAUGAUUUUGAUCAAGUUAUGGGAAUUAUUUUUAAUAGAAAAUGAGUGCAAGGAUUCAAGAUCUGCCUAGUGAAGUAUUGGUGAAAAUAUUCCAGUUUUUACAACUUGAAGAUCUAUUAAGAACGGUCAAUCGUGUCUGUGUUCUCUUCUACAAUCUAAUUGAAAAUUCUGCUGUAUUGUGGAAAGAAAUUGACUUCUCACACCCACUGGAACUGACAGCAAACAAUUUGUAUCAGGUGCUUCGACAUUCUAGGAAGACAGAAACAUUGUUACUACCUUGUGCAACAUACCAUUGUGCUAAUGCAAAUUAGACAGAAUAUUUACGACAUCAGACUUCACUUCGCUGGUUUGGAUUGACAUAACUGAUGCGAAAGUAUCAACUUUGUGAUUCCUGGAUGGUGCACCAAAUCUAGAAAUAGUGAACGUUAGUGGAUGUUCGAACCUUAUAGAUGAUGAUUUCUUGGUACUUAAAGACAGCACUAAACUAGAACAGAUUUAUGUGAGUUUCACAAGAAUACUACCAGAAACUUUGGAAGUAAUUUGCAAAGAUAAGCCUCUCAUCUGUGUAGAUGCAUGUGGAGUCAAGCUGAACAUUCAAACGUGCCAGAACAUUUUGCAAAACACAACUGACUGGAGAGCUUGUCUACUUCAAUAUAUCACUAUGUUCUUCUGUUUCCAAAGAAAACUUUAAAGCAGAAAUUCUGGAUUUAUAUUUGAACACAUCUAUUUCAAUACACAACCAUGAGUACUAGUAAAUUCAGUUUAAGAUAAGUUAUGAACAUGCUGGAAGAUGAUCAGUUACAGUAUAGUGAUGACUUGUUUGAGAGCAAUGGUGAACAGUCUUAUGAUGUAAAUUAAAUAUUUGACAAUGUACCAAAUGAUUUAUGCGACCAGCAGUUCAGUGAGCAAAAUGAAACUAACCUAAACACUUUUGACAAUGUGGACGAUUCUAUAUCUUUAGCACAUAAUUCGGAUGAAAAUUUAAGUUCUAUUCCUGAUACAGUAACUUUGAAUUUUUAUGACACUAGCAGAUUACCAGAAUCAGAAAUAUCAGAGGAGACAUGUGAUUCCCACUUUAAAGAUUACCAGAAAUCUAGUACUGUGAUCAAUUUCAAAGGAGUUCCCUAUACAAAGGUCAA
Ruditapes philippinarum (Manila clam) is the source of this 1440-nucleotide RNA transcript. RefSeq lists it as uncharacterized. The record is from RefSeq and is a predicted model, not a curated record. The transcript is spliced from 2 exons. NCBI's taxonomy places the organism in Eukaryota, Metazoa, Mollusca, Bivalvia, Venerida, Veneridae.